Caenorhabditis elegans is the source of this 21-nucleotide non-coding RNA. NCBI's taxonomy places the organism in Eukaryota, Metazoa, Nematoda, Chromadorea, Rhabditida, Rhabditidae. The record is from Ensembl.
UUUUUUACGCAUUCAACAAAC